This is a long non-coding RNA of Cololabis saira (Pacific saury), 307 nucleotides long. RefSeq lists it as uncharacterized. The record is from RefSeq and is a predicted model, not a curated record. The transcript has 3 exons. Lineage: Eukaryota; Metazoa; Chordata; Actinopteri; Beloniformes; Belonidae.
GUCAGGCUGUCUGAUCUCAGAGGAAGGCUGUGCUUCUCUGGUCUCAGCUCUGAGCUCCAACCCCUCCCACCUGAGAGAGCUGGACCUGAGCUACAACCAUCCAGGAGAGUCAGCAGUGAAGCUUUUGUCUGCUGGACUGAAGGAUCCCCGCUGGAGACUGGACACUCUCAGGGUGGAGCCUGCUGGACAACGAUGGUUGACACCAGGAGGUCUGAGGAAGUAUUCCUGUCAACUCACCAUCGACACAAACACAGUCAACAACUACAUCAAACUGUCUGAAAACAACAGGAAGAUGACACGUGUCGAG